AGAGUUUGAUCAUGGCUCAGGAUGAACGCUGGCGGCGUGCCUAACACAUGCAAGUCGAGCGAUCUUCUUCGGAAGAGAGCGGCGGACGGGUGAGUAACGCGUGGGUAACCUGCCUCAUACACAUGGAUAACAUACCGAAAGGUAUGCUAAUACAAGAUGAUAUAAGAGAUUCGCAUGGAUUUCUUAUCAAAGCUCCGGCGGUAUGAGAUGGACCCGCGUCUGAUUAGCUAGUUGGUAAGGUAACGGCUUACCAAGGCGACGAUCAGUAGCCGACCUGAGAGGGUGAUCGGCCACAUUGGAACUGAGACACGGUCCAAACUCCUACGGGAGGCAGCAGUGGGGAAUAUUGCACAAUGGGCGAAAGCCUGAUGCAGCAACGCCGCGUGAGCGAUGAAGGCCUUCGGGUCGUAAAGCUCUGUCCUCAAGGAAGAUAAUGACGGUACUUGAGGAGGAAGCCCCGGCUAACUACGUGCCAGCAGCCGCGGUAAUACGUAGGGGGCUAGCGUUAUCCGGAUUUACUGGGCGUAAAGGGUGCGUAGGUGGUUUCUUAAGUCAGGAGUGAAAGGCUACGGCUCAACCGUAGUAAGCUCUUGAAACUGGGAAACUUGAGUGCAGGAGAGGAAAGUGGAAUUCCUAGUGUAGCGGUGAAAUGCGUAGAUAUUAGGAGGAACACCAGUAGCGAAGGCGGCUUUCUGGACUGUAACUGACACUGAGGCACGAAAGCGUGGGGAGCAAACAGGAUUAGAUACCCUGGUAGUCCACGCCGUAAACGAUGAGUACUAGGUGUCGGGGGUUCACCCCCCUCGGUGCCGCAGCU
This 817-nucleotide ribosomal RNA is filed under the name uncultured bacterium. RNAcentral's name for it is "bacterial SSU rRNA". It matches the Rfam family "Bacterial small subunit ribosomal RNA", at positions 8 to 853 of the family's 1533-position model. The record is from RNAcentral.